RNAcentral lists this transfer-messenger RNA (374 nucleotides) under Hyphomicrobiales bacterium. Its description in RNAcentral is "Rhizobiales bacterium (bioreactor metagenome) transfer-messenger RNA". It matches the Rfam family "Alphaproteobacteria transfer-messenger RNA". Rfam says of the family: Bacterial tmRNA, also known as 10Sa RNA or SsrA, is named for its dual tRNA and mRNA-like properties. Its role is to liberate the mRNA from a stalled ribosome. The record is from RNAcentral. Lineage: Bacteria; Pseudomonadati; Pseudomonadota; Alphaproteobacteria; Hyphomicrobiales.
CCCCUUCACAUCCCCUCCCCGUCCCCCUAUAUUCCCCGUGCCGGCCUCGUGUCGGCUAUGGCGAUAAACGGCCGAUGUAAUAAGCCAUUCGGACCCGGGGGCGGUACCCGGCGCCUCCACCAUGAACCGCCGCGCCCAGUCUUGGAUUUCGGGGCGGUUUUUGAUGGGGGCGAAAUAGGAUCGACGAGGGUGUAAAGAUCGGACUUUUGCCCGGCAUGGUAGCCACCGUUAUCGGGCCAAACUUAUAGUUGCCAACGACAACUAUGCUGAGGCGCGUCUCGCUGCUUAAUGCGGCGCGAUAGUCUCGAACAAAGCCCUGUGGGUUAGCACCUUCAGGCGGGGUCCGGAGGCACCUGGCAACAGAAGCCUCCACU